This 198-nucleotide ribosomal RNA is filed under the name Daphnia parvula. RNAcentral describes it as "partial 18S ribosomal RNA". It matches the Rfam family "Eukaryotic small subunit ribosomal RNA", at positions 1 to 181 of the family's 1831-position model. Lineage: Eukaryota; Metazoa; Arthropoda; Branchiopoda; Diplostraca; Daphniidae. The record is from RNAcentral.
AAAAAAACAUACACGAAAUACCUGGUUGAUCCUGCCAGUAGCAUAUGCUUGUCUCAAAGAUUAAGCCAUGCAUGUCUAAGUACAAGCCGCUAGACGGCGAAACCGCGAAUGGCUCAAUAAAUCAGUUAUGGUUCCUUAGAUCCACUCCAUCCUACUUGGAUAACUGUGGUAAUUCUAGAGCUAAUACAUGCACUCGAG